Aegilops tauschii subsp. strangulata is the source of this 759-nucleotide long non-coding RNA. RefSeq lists it as uncharacterized. NCBI's taxonomy places the organism in Eukaryota, Viridiplantae, Streptophyta, Magnoliopsida, Poales, Poaceae. The record is from RefSeq and is a predicted model, not a curated record.
GGAGAACAGAGCGACAGACGGACGGACGGAGGCAGAGCUGCUCAUCGACAACGUGCUGCUCCCUGCGGAGUAGCGGCGUGGGGUGGAGUAAACACUCUCACCGGCACUUCACUUCCCCUCUUUGGCAGGCUUCCCCCCACUCUUCUCCAAGCCCCAGCCCCGGAGUUACAUCAGAAUGUAUCCUCGUGGAGACAAGUACAGCACUGAUUGCCUCAGCUUGUCCUUAUCCCCUGAUGACUCGGAUGAUGAACUCCAUCUCGAUUCCAAGAAGGUGGUUAUAACAACUCUGUCCAUCCUGGACCAAAAGAAUGGGAUGCAUUAGACUGGAACUUCAGGUCUGUGGGUAUGUGAAAAGGUAAGUGAAAAUGUAGGUGAAAACGGAUGGGGAUGGGCUGACUUCAUUGGACUCAAGAAACUCAAGGACCCUUCUGGAGGCUAUGUUGCAGGAUCGAGCUGUGUUGUGAAGGCAGAUCUCACUAUCGUUGGUUCGUCCAAUGAUGGCUAGAUCUUUACCUCAUGGCCUGAUGGAGAGAUAAUGCCCUUUCAUCCUAGUAAUAACUUGACCUGUAUGUGAGACAAUGUUGUGGUAGCAGUACUAAGAACUUGUGGGAUGAUUAGUAGUAAUGAGCCGGAUUUGAGAAGUGAGAUGAUUUCAUGCAUAUAUAUUUCUACGUAUAUGUAUCGAACAUAAACAUGUUAUUGGAAGUACUUGUAUAUGUAUGGAUGAUGCAACUAUAUGCCAGUCUGCUUGCCUCGCUA